This is a long non-coding RNA of Equus caballus (horse), 1757 nucleotides long. RefSeq lists it as uncharacterized. NCBI's taxonomy places the organism in Eukaryota, Metazoa, Chordata, Mammalia, Perissodactyla, Equidae. The record is from RefSeq and is a predicted model, not a curated record.
CCCUCUGGUGGUGCCUAGGCACAGGCACAGGCUGUGGCCAGUGCUUCCUCAAGGCGGCUCUGGCCCCUGUUUUCUCGUGGGUCCUUCAGACCGUUGGACGGAUGGAAGGAGCAAGGCAGGAAGGGAACAAAGACAGAAGGAAGAUAGGAAGAAAAGGGUUACAUUCCUGACAAAGGAUCUCUUCAAGGUUUGGAAGGAAACUACACUGCAGUGCCCAAGAUACUCAUCUGGAGAUGCUGUGAAUGGAAGCAUCGUGAUAACGUGUAAUGUUCUGUGUGGGAAAAACCUCAGUAGUUUAUGGGAGGUUAAAACAUGAUGAGGUGAAUGGCACAACAGAGCAAGUUUCAGCAUGGAUUUGGGCAAGCAGUAAUUAAAGACCUGUGUUAUGAUGACAUCCACAUUUCCCUUGUGACUUGGAAAUGUUCCUUUUCCUCUGUCAAUGCCAGCUUUGAUGCCAUAAUUGUUGAAUAUAGAAGGGGAGACGCGCUCCUUGUGCUUCUUUUGCAUGAGGUCUCUGACUCUGCAAAAGUUCCACCAGUUCUGACCCUGGAACUUUAGGAUAUGAUCCACCACUCAAGGCCCUCCAGCUGCAUUGAUCUUCUCUUACAAGACUCAGAUGGAGUAUCAAGUUUGAUGAUGUAAGCAUUGGUCUUGCUACUUGAUUCCUUCAAGGAGAUAAGAUUCCCAGCACCAGGAUGCCACCUUAGAGAAGAUCCAGUAAUCCACCAGGGUCUGCUGGCUGCUGACCAUUCACUGUUCCACUUGGCUCUUGGAAGGAAAAAUGCUGCUUUCCACGGAGACUUCAUGUCCCUUUGAUCUCCAUUUCAUCUUCCAGAUGGGACUGCAGGCAUUUGCUGAUUGUCUAGGCUUCUUCCCUGAUCUGUCUCACCCCAACCUGGAUGUUCCUUGCUCACUGGAAGGAAGGGAUGGGCUGAUGAAGAUAUCUGGGUGGCUAUCCAUAACUGUGUGUUGUCUCCAAAGCUUCCACCUUCUGGCAACUGACCACUUACUGUAUCGCCCUACUGAGGUACUUUGGAAAGUAAAAAGAAGGAGUGACAUCAGCAGCAUGCCAGAGUGAAUUGUUCCCUUUGUCUCUCCCCUCUAAUUUACAACUUAAAGGACAUGUGUUAACCAACAGAGGAUUCUCUACACAGCACCACAGAACACCUGAGAGAUCCACACAGCCACGCAUCUGAAGGUGAGUGGCCUGGAUCCCCAGGAAGCAGUGGAACUGGGUGAGCAGACCCUUCCCCCACCCCAGCAGCAGCAUUGCAGGUUGUGGGUCCUCACACAGCAGCUGGCAUGGCUGUGAGAGAAGGUGGAGGCAGCCCAGCCUGCAUGCAAACACUUUCAGAGUGGUAGCCCAGACUUUGGGAGCACCCACCGUGCUGUGGCUGCCCCACUCAUGGGGGCACUUCCCACCAGGUGGUGGUGGCUCAGCCCCUGUGAAAGAGCCCUGCCCACCAAGUGCAGCAGCUCAGCUGAACCCCCCAUGAGUGCAGAGCUGGCCCACAUGAAAGAAAGUGCCCUUCCCACCUAGCACAGAAGCUUGGCCAGUCCCCUACUGAGCACAGUGGCCCUGCCAACACAAGAGUGAACCAUGGGCGGAGCACAGAGGCCCAGCCUGCAUGUGCAUGCCCAACCCAGUAAGCAGCUGGGGCCAGCCUGCACAAAAGCAGAACAGCCCUACCAGCACAACUUCCAGCAGAUGGAGCAAGAUCAGAAAACACAGCUUCUGCCCACCCCCACAGUGGUGG